Long non-coding RNA from Clupea harengus (Atlantic herring), 796 nucleotides. Lineage: Eukaryota; Metazoa; Chordata; Actinopteri; Clupeiformes; Clupeidae. The record is from Ensembl.
UAGUGAAGUGUAUCCUCACUUUCAUACAGUUAUUGUUGUAAUCAAAGCUUUUAAAGAAUGGAUCUCUGCAUUAAGGGCCUGACCAGAGCACAGGUGGCCUGACAGAACACGCUUCAAAGUUGUCACUUUCAAAAGGGUGGCAUUUUAACCCUGUCAGUCCAAAAUGUCUAAAACUUGGUACCCAUGACUUAUUGCUCAUGGGAAACAAAAAAGUCUCAAGAACCCAUAAUGUCACCAGCAUGGAUAUUUCUCGACAGUGACAAUUUGUGAAUAAUUUAAAAAAAUGACUUCAAAUCAGCCAUUGAUCCAAUUAUCUGUCCAAUGUUGUGUACAUGUAUGAAAUACAUGUCAGUGUCAUGUCAAUUUUGUAAUGAUUGGAAUGUUGAGGAGGAACCCGCCAUUGCUGCCUGCAGCUAUAUUUAGGGUUCCUCCGUCAGGAGGAAACCUAUUGUUAUUGUAGGUAUUAUUAGGGUUCCUCCGUCAGGAGGAAACCUAUUGUUAUUGUAGGUAUUAUUAGGGUUCCUCCGUCAGGAGGAAACCUAUUGUUAUUGUAGGUAUUAUUAGGGUUCCUCCGUCAGGAGGAAACCUAUUGUUAUUGUAGGUAUUAUUAUUAUUAUUAUUAUUAUUAUUCUUGUACCAUUGGAGUCAAUGGCAGCCCCUAGAACCGUAUGGUAACUUUUUCUGAAAUUUGGCACACUCAUUAAGGACAGUCCCUUCUUCACUCACACCAAGUUUCAUGUCUCCCACUAGACCACACUAGCGCCACCAACGGGUCAAAGUUGGACUUUUGUUAACA